Xenopus laevis (African clawed frog) is the source of this 293-nucleotide long non-coding RNA. RefSeq lists it as uncharacterized. Lineage: Eukaryota; Metazoa; Chordata; Amphibia; Anura; Pipidae. The transcript has 3 exons. The record is from RefSeq and is a predicted model, not a curated record.
UUCACACCUGCCCAUUAACACCUGGGAGUUUUUUUUGGCUUCUCCAUUGUUCAUAUAAUUACAUCUUUAUCUGAACAGUGUAAGAGAGCCAGGGGUUCCUUAGGGAGACCCCCCUUGGGGUGGCCCGGCCUUGUGCCGCCCCCUAUUUUUUCUCCCCCCAUCGGAGAAUCUUCAUUAAGAGGUUUCAACGAUGGACAAGAAGCAGAGAAAUCCAUCUCUUCUGACGCUGUACUCCGUCCUGAAGGACUUCAGGGCGGAAUAUACAGACUUUGAGGCCCUCGCUUCUUAUUAUG